RNAcentral lists this unclassified non-coding RNA (253 nucleotides) under uncultured Enterobacteriaceae bacterium. RNAcentral describes it as "contains 16S-23S intergenic spacer region". It matches the Rfam family "Bacterial small subunit ribosomal RNA", at positions 524 to 776 of the family's 1533-position model. The record is from RNAcentral. Lineage: Bacteria; Pseudomonadati; Pseudomonadota; Gammaproteobacteria; Enterobacterales; Enterobacteriaceae.
UACGGAGGGUGCAAGCGUUAAUCGGAAUUACUGGGCGUAAAGCGCACGCAGGUGGCCUGUUAAGUCGGAUGUGAAAUCCCCGGGCUCAACCUGGGAACUGCAUCCGGAACUGGCAGGCUAGAGUGUUGGAGAGGGGGGUAGAAUUCCAGGUGUAGCGGUGAAAUGCGUAGAGAUCUGGAGGAAUACCGGUGGCGAAGGCGGCCUCCUGGACAGAGACUGACGCUCAGGUGCGAAAGCGUGGGGAGCAAACAGG